GACUAUUGGCGCCGUGUCUUCUCAUUCGUGUGAGAUAUCUUACAGUUUCCUUUCAGGUGCUUGCAUGAUGUUACCCGACCUGCGGGCAGUGGUGCUUCAUACAAAGUUGACUCGCGGUGGACGCCUUUGGGUGUGCUACUGUGGCCAUAUGGCGCUUGCGGCGUUUCCUCUUGGUCCGGCAUGUUUUUGUGCCUGGUGCUAUCAAGGCAGCCUCGCUCUCGCUGUUGGUUUUGGAUGUUGCUCAUGAUAUAGGCUUGUGGCCCUUUUUGGUUGCCUUGGCCUGACCCUAAUAACGCUCUCCGAAUUUGAGAACAACCGGAACAUGUGUUGCCUCUACCUCUCCACAGUUAGUGGUAGGAUUACGCAACAUACUGUGCCGAUCCUCAUACAAGUAGGACGAGCUAGGCCCGCUCAAUUGCGACAACUAGCCCGGUAGUUGCCUCUGCCUUGCCACGCAAGUGG
This 462-nucleotide unclassified non-coding RNA is filed under the name Anthoxanthum hookeri. Its description in RNAcentral is "Hierochloe hookeri partial external transcribed spacer". Lineage: Eukaryota; Viridiplantae; Streptophyta; Magnoliopsida; Poales; Poaceae. The record is from RNAcentral.